UAGUGGCGAACGGGUGAGUAACACGUGGGCAAUCUGCCCUUCACUCUGGGACAAGCCCUGGAAACGGGGUCUAAUACCGGAUAAUACUUUCUCCUGCAUGGGAGAGGGUUGAAAGCUCCGGCGGUGAAGGAUGAGCCCGCGGCCUAUCAGCUUGUUGGUGGGGUGAUGGCCUACCAAGGCGACGACGGGUAGCCGGCCUGAGAGGGCGACCGGCCACACUGGGACUGAGACACGGCCCAGACUCCUACGGGAGGCAGCAGUGGGGAAUAUUGCACAAUGGGCGGAAGCCUGAUGCAGCGACGCCGCGUGAGGGAUGACGGCCUUCGGGUUGUAAACCUCUUUCAGCAGGGAAGAAGCGUGAGUGACGGUACCUGCAGAAGAAGCGCCGGCUAACUACGUGCCAGCAGCCGCGGUAAUACGUAGGGCGCAAGCGUUGUCCGGAAUUAUUGGGCGUAAAGAGCUCGUAGGCGGCUUGUCGCGUCGGAUGUGAAAGCCCGGGGCUUAACCCCGGGUCUGCAUUCGAUACGGGCAGGCUAGAGUGUGGUAGGGGNAAAUCGGAAUUCCU
Molecule: ribosomal RNA, 565 nt
Filed under: Streptomyces sp. 334D10
Lineage: Bacteria; Bacillati; Actinomycetota; Actinomycetes; Kitasatosporales; Streptomycetaceae
Description: bacterial SSU rRNA
Rfam family: Bacterial small subunit ribosomal RNA
Source: RNAcentral